This 678-nucleotide ribosomal RNA is filed under the name uncultured Thermoplasmata archaeon. RNAcentral's name for it is "bacterial SSU rRNA". It matches the Rfam family "Archaeal small subunit ribosomal RNA", at positions 321 to 1001 of the family's 1478-position model. Lineage: Archaea; Methanobacteriati; Thermoplasmatota; Thermoplasmata. The record is from RNAcentral.
CCCUAUGGGGUGCAGCAGGUGCGAAAACUUCGCAAUGUGGGAAACCACGACGAGGGGAGUCCAAGUGCUUGCACAAUGUGUAGGCUGUUUCCGUGCCUAAAAAGCACGGAGAGUAAGGGCUGGGUAAGACGGGUGCCAGCCGCCGCGGUAAUACCCGCAGCCCGAGUGGUGGUCGCUAUUAUUGGGCCUAAAACGUCCGUAGCCGGCCCGGUAAAUUCUUGGGGAAAUCGGUCAGCUCAACUGACCGAAGUCCGAGGAGACUGCCGGGCUUGGGACUGGGUGAGGUCAGAGGUACUUCAGGGGUAGGGGUAAAAUCCUGUAAUCCUUGAGGGACCACCAGUGGCGAAGGCGUCUGACUAGAACGGAUCCGACGGUAAGGGACGAAGCCCUGGGGCACAAACGGGAUUAGAUACCCCGGUAGUCCAGGGUGUAAACGCUGUGGGCUUGGUGUUGGGAGUCCCACGAGGGCGCCCAGUGCCGGAGAGAAGUUGUUAAGCCUACUGCCUGGGGAGUACGCUCGCAAGAGUGAAACUUAAAGGAAUUGGCGGGGGAGCACCGCAACGGGUGGAGCGUGCGGUUUAAUUGGAUUCAACGCCGGAAAACUCACCGGGAGCGACGGUUAUAUGAAGACCAGGUUGAACGCCUUGUCUGAUUUUCCGAGAGGAAGUGCAUGGCCAA